Molecule: ribosomal RNA, 301 nt
Filed under: uncultured bacterium
Lineage: Bacteria
Description: partial 16S ribosomal RNA
Rfam family: Bacterial small subunit ribosomal RNA
Source: RNAcentral
CAGCAGCCGCGGUAAUACGAAGGGGGCUAGCGUUGUUCGGAUUAACUGGGCGUAAAGGGCGCGUAGGCGGGUUUUUAAGUCAGAGGUGGAAUCCCAAGGCUCAACCUUGGAACUGCCUUUGAUACUGGAAGUCUUGAGUCCGGGAGAGGUGAGUGGAACUGCGAGUGUAGAGGUGAAAUUCGUAGAUAUUCGCAAGAACACCAGUGGCGAAGGCGGCUCACUGGCCCGGUACUGACGCUGAGGCGCGAAAGCGUGGGGAGCAAACAGGAUUAGAUACCCCGGUAGUCCCUGUCUCUUAUAC